Pseudomyrmex gracilis is the source of this 2291-nucleotide long non-coding RNA. RefSeq lists it as uncharacterized. The record is from RefSeq and is a predicted model, not a curated record. Lineage: Eukaryota; Metazoa; Arthropoda; Insecta; Hymenoptera; Formicidae. The transcript is spliced from 3 exons.
CUCCGACACCAGAUGCACCUCGUAGAUAUGAUAGAGUUCCGAUCCUUCCUCCGGCCAGUAGCGAUGGCACAUAGAACGGCCUUCCUCGGACAAUUAUUGGAGGCGAAGUGCGUAAACACGAAGCGACGGAAUGUCGCUUGUGUAUGAAAUCGACGAUACACAUCGUCGAUCCACGCACAAACAAGCAAGCACGCAACAACCAAAAUCGCAUCAAAAUGAAUAUGUAUGUAAGAACAGCGAGAUACACGUGGACGAGGCGGCAGGAAGAGCCGCAAGAGGGAUCGCAUAAUGAAUAAGUCGAGGUUCGAGGGUGAAAACAAGAUAGAUAAGGAUUACGCGACAUAACUGAUAAAAGAGCGAGAUGGAGACGGUGAGAAGGAGAGAGAAAGACAUUUAUACGCGCGCGCGAUAGAGAGAUCUCGAAGUUUGCGAAGGCGUAGCUGCGUGGGAUGAACGGCUCGAUAACUCUCGAGCUGCUGUCGUGGGUGAAAAUCGAACAUCUCCCUUCUCUUCUGCAUAUUUAUGCACGUUGUCGAUGAGUUCAAGAUCACAUCAAGUGAUUAGAUGCAUUUAAAUGAUUCACGGAAGAUCCGAUCCGCGGAUCACAGAGAGACGCGAAAUGUUCUCUUCGUGGUUGUCUCGCUAAUGAAAAAAAAGCGAUAGCCAUAAUUGCGAGAUUUGUGACGAGGUUCUAUAGCCCAGCUGUGGCUUAUCAGCCGUGAGUAAACUUGCACAGCGCAGCGCUCGCACAGCGAGGAGAACCGUGAUAACGGAUAACGCGAAAUCGAUGUGACACGAUCCUUUAAUCCCGAUUCUCGUAAAACUACGCCGGAAACAAUAAGAUCGUGAAAAGCUCCUCGAUGACGUCAAGACCAGGUGAUGGAUAUUGCCGUGUCGGGAAUAGUUUUGCUGGAUACUGGUUUAAGGAGAGUUUGAGUCGCGCUAAUAUCAUAGCGUCAAAACUUUCUCCAUUCUUAUCUAACACCCCGCCGGCGUACUCUAAAUUGACCGACGGAAGUUUUAACGCAAUUAAUUAGCUCUUAGGUCCCAUACAAGUAAUUGACAACUCUCUCGAGUUGUUUGUACAUAGGCGCGUAACAUUGCAAGAGCGCGAAUUGUGUUUUCCUCUUAAUUACGUAGCGUCGUUCAAUUUUUCUUUCAUAAUGUCACACGAUAUCAUUGCGAUCUCGUUGUUCGUAAACGUGAAUAUAAUUUUCUUUGCGUGUAACAACAGUCAGAGACAUAAUAGUAAGGUGUUUUUUGCUUGCUAUACGUCUUCCUUCUCUUUGCGUUGUUAAUCAAUAAGUGCACUUUCACGAAUGUGACCAAACAGCAUGGCACUUAUAGAAAUAUACAACGCAGUUGGCCUAAUGGGGCGUCAACCAUUAACGAACGCGAUCGAUGUUAACACUUUGAUAUGAGCACUCGCAUAUUGCGAACAGAAAUAUUGAUUGAAAACGAAGAUAAGAUUUUCUGAUUAUACAUUUCUAGAGAAUUAUUUAUUAAAAUUUAUGAGAGAGAGAGAAAGAGAGAGACUCUUAAGCUUUUUAUUUUACAAAGAUAUUUGAAAAAAAAAAUCUAAAAAUCAUUUUUUUACUUUGCGACCUAACUUGAAGUUUAUUUACGAACAUAAAUGUGUGCGGAUGAGCGAUUUCCAUGAAAUGUUAAUGCGAUAUUGAGUGAGUCCGCGUGAUAAUUCUCUCAGAAUGUCGUUACAUCUGUUGUAGAAUCUAUCUCUCAUCUCCCUUUGUUUCUUAUCUUCGCGUGCACUGCUCACGCACAAAGAGUUACUGCUUGAUCGGGCGUUUUAUAACAGAUGGUUCGUAAUGAAACAUAUCGAGUGGAACGCUCUUCAUCGUAAAAAACUUCAUAUUUCCUAUCUCUUUAUAAGCCUCUCGCUUAUCGGCUCUGAAAAAAGAGAGUUAACUUAAAGUUCAUCCGAGUAUUAAUUUCAAAGAGAGAGGAGCAGAGCUACGUCUAGUCUCCAGAAGUUUCACGUAGAACGUCAUAACCCGAGAGACCUUAUUUCAUUCGAGAAAACACGUUUGUAAUUCCGACGAACAGAGACGACGCUGUUUCGCAAUUUUUCUGAGAGAAGAAAAAAAAAAGAAAACGGAGCUCCCGCAUUGUGAAGUGAGAAAAUACCGAUUUGAACGUCUUCUUAUAUCGCAGAUAUCGCGUGACAAAAUAUAUAUUGUCAGUUUUAGAAUAAAUUGCGCGCUCGAGAAUUGAGACGCAAACGCGUCGUUGUCCGCGCGCUCACACGGAAUAACAUUUAAUCACACUCACCG